UACGUAGGGCGCAAGCGUUGUCCGGAAUUAUUGGGCGUAAAGAGCUCGUAGGUGGCUUGUCACGUCGGGUGUGAAAGCUUGGGGCUUAACUCCAGGUCUGCAUUCGAUACUGCCGUGCUUGAGGACUGGAGAGGAGACUGGAAUUUACGGUGUAGCGGUGAAAUGCAUUGAGAUCGGAAAGAACACCACCGGCGAAAGCACUCUGCUGGGCCGACACUGACACUGAGAGACGAAAGCUAGGGGAGCAAAUGGG
RNAcentral lists this ribosomal RNA (253 nucleotides) under uncultured bacterium. Its description in RNAcentral is "partial 16S ribosomal RNA". It matches the Rfam family "Bacterial small subunit ribosomal RNA", at positions 524 to 776 of the family's 1533-position model. The record is from RNAcentral.